AAACUUAAGAGCGUUUAAUUAGUCUUGGCAACAAACAGAAUUAUUUUGUUCUCUCUCCUGAACAAAAUGAAGAAAUAAGUAUGUUCAUUAGAUAUGAUAAGCUGCAUAUUGUGCAAUCUAUAUAAAAGAACUCCAUAUUGUUUGACAACGGCCUAGAAAUUCAACAAUAUAGUCAGAAUUCUAGUAGGAAAAUAUUGGUCAUGGUAUGAUGGACAACUCAAUGAAAACACAAGAUUAGGAACACACCAGUGCAUAAGUAGUAGGCAACGAACGGCAAACUUAAGAGUGCUUAAUUAGUCUUCGCAACAAACAGAAUUAUUUUGUUCUCUCCUGACCAAAAUAAAGAAAUAAUGAUGUUCAUCAGAUAUGAUAAGCUGCAUAUUGUGCAAUCCAUUCAAAAGAGCUUCAUAUUGUUUGACAUCAUCGAUGGCAGGCCAUGAAGGAUUCAUAAAUGAAGCUAACAUCUCUUUAGACUCUGUAUAUGCAGCAAAAUAUAUAUAAAAGGGAACAGCAGGAAACAUCAUAUUACUGUAAAAGACCACCAUCUUAAAAUUCACAAAUGCUCAAAAAAAUAGCGUCAUCAAUAUUCAGCUUAGAUAGAAAUGAAGAACAGAAAAUGUAAAGGAUACUAAACAUGGUAAUAUAAGCUUACAUUCAGCCCACACGAACAGAUAACAAGUGCCACAGCAGUUAGUACUACAUUAAAGCAAAUAUAUAGGGGACUAGGUCAUUCAUACAACUAAGUAUUACACAUUGGACCGCUUGUCGCUUACAAAAUAUCUACGGCUAACCAACAUUGUUCAAAGCCGCGAAAGGCACGCACCGAACGCUAGGGGGACAUAUCCAAACCUUACAAAAUAUCUACGGCUAACCAACAUUGUUCAAAGCCGUGAAGGGCAUGCACCUAAAAAAGCACAAUUUGGAAUGAUAGGACGACAUAUCCAAACCUGUGCCACAGAACUAGAAGAUUAGGCGCACACACAACCAACAACUGAUUUUUACAAAGGCGUUAGUGCCACCACGUUAAGUGCAUGAAGCAGCAGCGACUUUCAGCGA
This 1056-nucleotide long non-coding RNA is filed under the name Triticum aestivum (bread wheat). Its description in RNAcentral is "long non-coding RNA (TAES_LNC012823)". Lineage: Eukaryota; Viridiplantae; Streptophyta; Magnoliopsida; Poales; Poaceae. The record is from RNAcentral.